UAGGGAAUAUUAGUAAUGGGCGAAAGCCUGAACUAGCAACGCCGCGUGUGCGAAGAAGGCCUUCGGGUUGUAAAGCACUUUUUGAGAGGUUGGGGAAGGACGGUACUCUCAGAAUAAGUCUCGGCUAACUACGUGCAAGCAGCCGCGGUAACACGUAGGAGGCGAACGUUUUCCGGAUUUACUGGGCGUAAAGCGCGUGUAGGUGGUUUGGUAAGUAGGGCGUGAAAGCUCCUGGCUCAACUGGGAGAGGCCGUUCUAAACUGCCGAACUAGAGGAUGGUAGAGGGAGGUGGAAUUCCGGGUGUAGCGGUGGAAUGCGCAGAUAUCCGGAGGAACACCAGUGGCGAAAGCGGCCUCCUGGACCAUUCCUGACACUCAGACGCGAAAGCUAGGGUAGCAAACGG
This 403-nucleotide ribosomal RNA is filed under the name uncultured bacterium. RNAcentral's name for it is "bacterial SSU rRNA". It matches the Rfam family "Bacterial small subunit ribosomal RNA", at positions 355 to 775 of the family's 1533-position model. The record is from RNAcentral.